CCGGCAAACGGGUGCGGAACACGUACACAACCUUCCUUCAAAUGGGGAAUAGCCCAGGGAAACUUGGAUUAAUACCCCGUAACAUUAUGGAGUGGCAUCACUUUAUAAUUAUAGCUACGGCGUUUGAAGAUGGGUGUGCGGCUGAUUAGGUAGUUGGCGGGGUAACGGCCCACCAAGCCUUCGAUCAGUAACUGGUGUGAGAGCACGACCAGUCACACGGGCACUGAGACACGGGCCCG
This 239-nucleotide ribosomal RNA is filed under the name uncultured bacterium. Its description in RNAcentral is "partial 16S ribosomal RNA". It matches the Rfam family "Bacterial small subunit ribosomal RNA", at positions 95 to 334 of the family's 1533-position model. The record is from RNAcentral.